GGAUAUGAGGGUGAUAUGGCUGCGACAUCUGUCACCUCAUUGAUUGCAGGGUUGAUUCAGCUGAUCUGGCUGGCUAGGCAGGUGUCCCCUUCCUCCCACAACAAUCCAUGUGUGUCCCUCUUGAAACUGUGUGCUCGGUUGAAGAGGACGACCACCCCUGAUAGAGGAGGACCGUUCCUCGGUUAAGGGUAUAUGAGUAGCUGCGCUCUCCUGCUAGAACCUCCAAACAAGCUUUCAACACCCAUUUAAAAAUCAGAAUAGUCAAGUGUGGAGUGAAUGUACAGCUCUCAGCAUUCUCCAAAGAUUUUGGGUGCUAGACUGA
RNAcentral lists this small nuclear RNA (322 nucleotides) under Cavia aperea (Brazilian guinea pig). RNAcentral's name for it is "7SK RNA (ENSCAPG00000001095.1)". It matches the Rfam family "7SK RNA". From Rfam's summary of the family: 7SK was discovered as an abundant small nuclear RNA in the mid-70s but a possible function has only recently been suggested. The record is from RNAcentral. Lineage: Eukaryota; Metazoa; Chordata; Mammalia; Rodentia; Caviidae.